Molecule: ribosomal RNA, 442 nt
Filed under: uncultured bacterium
Lineage: Bacteria
Description: bacterial SSU rRNA
Rfam family: Bacterial small subunit ribosomal RNA
Source: RNAcentral
CGGGGGAUAACUAUUGGAAACGAUAGCUAAUACCGCAUAACAGUAGAUGUUGCAUGACAUUUGCUUAAAAGGUGCAAUUGCAUCACUACCAGAUGGACCUGCGUUGUAUUAGCUAGUUGGUGGGGUAACGGCUCACCAAGGCGACGAUACAUAGCCGACCUGAGAGGGUGAUCGGCCACACUGGGACUGAGACACGGCCCAAACUCCUACGGGAGGCAGCAGUAGGGAAUCUUCGGCAAUGGACGGAAGUCUGACCGAGCAACGCCGCGUGAGUGAAGAAGGUUUUCGGAUCGUAAAGCUCUGUUGNAAGAAAANAACGAGUGUGAGAGUGGAAAGUUCACACUGUGACGGUAUCUUACCAGAAAGGGACGGCUAACUACGUGCCAGCANCCGCGGUAAUACGUANGUCCCGAGCGUUGUCCGGAUUUAUUGGGCGNAAAAC